GGGGUUCUGGCUCAGUGGUAGAGUGCUUGCUUAGAAUGUAUGAGGCACUGGGUUCAAUCCUCAGCACCACA
Molecule: transfer RNA, 71 nt
Filed under: Marmota monax (woodchuck)
Lineage: Eukaryota; Metazoa; Chordata; Mammalia; Rodentia; Sciuridae
Description: tRNA.Ser
Source: RNAcentral